CCCAGUAAUCAGCACAAGUUAGAAUGUGGGCAACUCAGCAGUCGUUGCGCAGGCACUUUGGUGACUCUAGAUAACCUAGGACCAAUCGCACGUCCCCGUGACGGCAACGACUGAUUCGGAUGUCUGCCCUAUCAACUUUCAAUGGUACUUUCUGCGCCUACCAUGGUGACCACGGGGAAUCAGGGUUCGAUUAUGGAGAGGGAGCCUGAGAAAUGGUUACCACAUCCAAGGAAGCCAGCAGAUGCCCAAAUUACCCACUCCCGACGCGGGGAGGUAGUGACG
Molecule: non-coding RNA, 282 nt
Organism: Pelobates cultripes (western spadefoot toad)
Lineage: Eukaryota; Metazoa; Chordata; Amphibia; Anura; Pelobatidae
Source: the annotation of a GenBank genome assembly